AAACAAAGAAAAUGGAGUGUCAAGAAGUGAGUCAAAGUUAGAAACCAAGUAUUGCUUAACAAAAAUGAGAACAGCCAAGACUAUGGAGAAUCCCUACUCACCUACAGUAUGUCUUCCUUCAACAUAUUUGAUCACUGGCCUUUCUGAAAGUGUGUCUCAUCCACAGUAUCAAGCGAUCAGCUUGAAGAAAAGAUAAAGGUCAGAAGCAGGCUUAAGGAGAUGGACAGAAGUCCUGAGUGAGAAAUAAACAAAGGAAGUUCCUCUGCAGUAGAACUAUUUAAAACAUAUGCCAAUAAAAUGUUCAAAGGAUUCCUACAGGGCUCCAAAGAUAAACA
This is a long non-coding RNA of Hyaena hyaena (striped hyena), 335 nucleotides long. RefSeq lists it as uncharacterized. The record is from RefSeq and is a predicted model, not a curated record. Lineage: Eukaryota; Metazoa; Chordata; Mammalia; Carnivora; Hyaenidae. The transcript is spliced from 4 exons.